RNAcentral lists this ribosomal RNA (325 nucleotides) under uncultured eukaryote. RNAcentral's name for it is "partial 18S ribosomal RNA". It matches the Rfam family "Eukaryotic small subunit ribosomal RNA", at positions 1470 to 1796 of the family's 1831-position model. The record is from RNAcentral.
CCCUUAGACGUUCUGGGCCGCACGCGCGCUACACUGAUGCAUUCAACGAGCCUAUCCUUGACCGACAGGUCCGGGUAAUCUUUGAAUCUGCAUCGUGACGGGGAUAGAUUAUUGCAAUUAUUAAUCUUCAACGAGGAAUGCCUAGUAGGCGCAAGUCAUCAGCUUGCGUCGAUUACGUCCCUGCCCUUUGUACACACCGCCCGUCGCUCCUACCGAUUGGGUGGGCUGGUGAAAUGUUCGGAUCGGCCGUUUGUCGCGGUUUCCGCGUCAUGUGGCUGAGAAGUUCAUUAAACCCUCCCACCUAGAGGAAGGAGAAGUCGUAACA